This 467-nucleotide ribosomal RNA is filed under the name uncultured bacterium. RNAcentral's name for it is "partial 16S ribosomal RNA". It matches the Rfam family "Bacterial small subunit ribosomal RNA", at positions 28 to 506 of the family's 1533-position model. The record is from RNAcentral.
GAUGAACGCUGACAGAAUGCUUAACACAUGCAAGUCUACUUGAAUUUGGGUUUUUUAACUUAGAUUUGGGUGGCGGACGGGUGAGUAACGCGUAAAGAACUUGCCUCACAGCUAGGGACAACAUUUGGAAACGAAUGCUAAUACCUGAUAUUAUGAUUAUAAGGCAUCUUAGAAUUAUGAAAGCUAUAUGCGCUGUGAGAGAGCUUUGCGUCCCAUUAGCUAGUUGGAGAGGUAACGGCUCACCAAGGCGAUGAUGGGUAGCCGGCCUGAGAGGGUGAACGGCCACAAGGGGACUGAGACACGGCCCUUACUCCUACGGGAGGCAGCAGUGGGGAAUAUUGGACAAUGGACCAAGAGUCUGAUCCAGCAAUUCUGUGUGCACGAUGACGUUUUUCGGAAUGUAAAGUGCUUUCAGUUGGGAAGAAAAAAAUGACGGUACCAACAGAAGAAGUGACGGCUAAAUACGU